Pieris brassicae (large cabbage white) is the source of this 519-nucleotide long non-coding RNA. RefSeq lists it as uncharacterized. NCBI's taxonomy places the organism in Eukaryota, Metazoa, Arthropoda, Insecta, Lepidoptera, Pieridae. The record is from RefSeq and is a predicted model, not a curated record. The transcript is spliced from 3 exons.
AAUAACUUAACAAACGACAAUCAAUAUGUUUUAUAUGAAAUUGGAAAUGCCGAACUUUGGUACAAAUCUCAAAUAGAAGUUUUCGAGAAGAUGACACUGGAAGGCAAAAUAAUGUGGAAUGAUUUGACUAAACGCGAAAUCGCAAGUGUGAGUAGUUUAGAUCCUUUAUGGAAAAACCAAGAUAUGAGUGUAAGUUACCUUACCAAUGAUGUCGUGAAGAGAGAAGAUUUCGACUUGCCCUCAGGUGGCUUGUGUUUAGUCCUACCAUUAAACUAUGCGCGGGAAAAUUUACUUCCAAAAGAUAUAAAUAUUAAUAAUAAUGGUGAAUUCAUAAUAGUGCCAAUCAGUGAUGUUAUUGUUGUCAAAUCAAAACAAGAAGGUUUGAAAGACUUAAAUCUCACAGAAAUUAAAAGAAAACAGGUAACACACCAUCCAUGAGCCUAUCGUAAUCCUUUCCUGCUCAAUAGUGACUUUUGUAAUUCUUGUAUUUCUUAUUCUUUUGUAUUGCAUCGCAAUUCA